Cuculus canorus (common cuckoo) is the source of this 14078-nucleotide long non-coding RNA. RefSeq lists it as uncharacterized. The transcript is spliced from 7 exons. The record is from RefSeq and is a predicted model, not a curated record. NCBI's taxonomy places the organism in Eukaryota, Metazoa, Chordata, Aves, Cuculiformes, Cuculidae.
CAUGCUAUCUCCUAAAGCAGUCAUUCUGAAACCCAAUCUGGGGACAGUGCAGACUAAAUAAAAUUUCAUUUUGAUUUGGCCUCCCGCUGAGAAUGGGACUGCUUUGUUUCAGCCGACAGAACCAGCAAGCCAGAAAGGUCUUGAAUUCACAAAUACUGACUUAAUGGAAAAUUAUAUUUGGAUUUGGCUUGCUUGAUGCUGGACGAUUAAUGAAGGAAGCCCUAACUGGACAAAUGUUGGUCUCCUGAGACAAUGUGUUGUUGAUAACAGAGAGCAAGCCUGUUAACUGUGAAUGUGAAGAGAUGAAGCCAGCGAAAAACAGACAGAAGUGUGAAGAGCUUUCCUGCCGUUAUUGUCUAGGACACUAUAGCAGCUUCUAGUUUUAGCAUCAAUGAGUGAAUAGCUGUUCCUUCUAGAGACACAUACCUUUGGACAAGCAGUUACAAAUAUCAGAGAGUAGACCAGAGGACACCACCACCAUGGACACCAAAGUGUUAGAUUGUUCUCAUGGGAAGCACUGGAUGAGAGGCAGUGGAUCAAAAAAGUGUUCAGCUGAAGCAGAGCAUCCAGGACCACAUCAGGGAUGAGAAGCAAAGCCAAACAUUACUCUUACAAAUAAAGAUUUCUAAACCAACCUAGGUUUUCUUUUCUAGUUGGAGCAGAGAGAUUUUAUCUUACAGUGGAACUUGAGUACCUCACAAAUAAAAUCAAGCAUGUGAAAAGCCUAUAAGAUUAGAUCCUAAUUCUGUAUUUCACCAAAGGAGAACUGAAGGAAAGAUAGAUGGAGUUAUUUGCUGUGGCAAGCAGAUCCCCUGUCCUGUUCAGAGGCUGCCAUUUCCUGCCUGUGAUGUGGAAGAAACAUAGCCAUUAUCAGGCACCUGCAAAAGCCCUCUGCCUGUUUUUGCUCAAAGUGACAGAGUCCGGAGGACGAUGUGCAUGUUCCCACUGGUCUGUAGGGAGUGUAAUGUAGCUGAUGCAAUUCCUGGCUCCAGCACACCUGCAAGGUCUCAUUGAUCUGCUGCUCAGUGCUCUGAAAACUCAGAAAUCUAUUAUCAGUGCGAGCAUGUGCUUAUUGAUCAGAUUACCUGCUUCUGCUCCCUAUGUGUACCUAAUUGUACCGGUGUACACGCACACACACACAUAAAUAUGUGCACACGUAUACAUAUAUACAGCCAUGCGCACAUGGGUUAUUGGGAUGUGUGUAUGUUAAAAGCUUUAACAUAUUUUUCUUGUUUUACAAAACCACACAUAAAUGAAAGGAGCGGACCUUCUCCGUGAAAUGUGAGUGCAGAAACACUCACAAGUGGCCAAGAGCUGCUAAAUAAUUAAUCAAUAGAGCAGUGUGGCAGUUUGAAAUGUAAAUGUGAUGGAUGAAGGUGUGAUGCUUGUCAUCACGCAGAAAAUGAUGUGACUGGAAUGGAUAACCCGCAGUACCUGCUGACUGGCAAAAGCUUGGACACAAAGAUAAAGUAAAGCCAUCAGAAAGCAGCCCCAGCAACCCCUAAUUCUUGCCUUUGACCCACAAUUCACUUUCAUGUCUCUGUCCCAGAAGAGAUGUUUAAAAAAAUGAUGAAGAGAGAUCUUGGAGUGGGAAAGGCGAGAGAAAGAAAAAACAUCUGAAGAAAUGCUACCUGACAAGGCUGCGGGCUACAUUCUUGAGAACACCUUUCUUUUCUUUAUGUUCUCCUUCUCCUGUUAAAUAAAAAUGCAGCUCCUUUUUUCCCUUUCCUUUCUUCCAAAACUCUCCUGAGCCAUUCCUGCAAGUGGUUCUGUGACUGGGGAGCUGACAACAGCCACAUGCAAAGGAACAAAGAACAAGAGUGACAAUUCAGAGUGCACACAGAAAUGCAAGCCUGAAAGUAGGUUUUAAAAGUUUGGAGGCUCUUUCUGCCAGGAAGAGAGAAUCCUACUUCUCAGUAAGUACCAUUUAGCAGGUUGUCUUUCUUUGCCUAUUUUGCUACCCCUCUCUUCAGAAAGUGAAAAAUACCACAGUUUAACAUGAGAAUUCCAAACUCCCCAAAAAAAUACAUUAGCAAAUAAUACCUACUAAAAGUGAAAGCUAAAUAUAUAUAUAUAAUAGUGUUUUCGCACAGAAAACAGAUGUUUUACCAUUUCCUAGACAUAAAAUAUACAUACAAAUAUUCUCUUCAAAUCUUUUGAGUUUUUUUCAAGACUUCUGUACACAUGUUUAAGUCUGAAGUGGUGUAAAGAAGCAGCAGAUCUCCAGGUGAACUGGCCAGUGUUUUCAUACUUCCUCAAUUUAUUAUUUUUAACUGUUUUUUCAUCGUUUUAUUUUUUAAUCUUUAUGUUACUGUUGUUCAAGAGGCAGUGAAAAAACACAUAAGUAUGCAAAAAUAAUUGUGCCAAAAUGAAUUUUAGAAAUCAAGAAUUAGCACCUACAGUAAUACAGAACACUACUUAGCCCAGCUCCACAGUAAAUAACCUACCUUCAGUCUGGGCGAGGUUUCUGGUGUAAUGCCAUUGAAGGGAAAUAUUUGCUAUAGCUUGAUUACCUGGAUAAAGUUUAAGCAGAGUCCCAACUCUCUAUAUAUAAUGGAAUCACCACACUCCACAGAAAUAUUUCCUAUAUAAAAUGGCAAAACUGUGGGCUUAUAAGUAAUUCAGCUUGAAUUUCUUUUCUGUGAUAUUUUGAGUUGUGUUUUCUGAUUUGUGCUUUGGGAACUUUCUUCAGCUCAUGCCAAAGCUACUCAGUUAUAUAUCUUUACCUACAUGGCAGCUACUUUCAUGUUAAUUUUUAGUUCUUUUGUACAGCUUCAGGAACACAAUAUCAUAAGUCAGUAGGAAUCAGACCCUAGAAUUUGGAGCAAUCUGUCUAAGCUAGUCUGUGGGUUGGAAGACUGAUCCUACACCUUGUAUCUGAUAUGUUUCUGGCAGAAGUUGUUCAUAAGUUUUGAAGCAGUAAAAAGGAAAUUGGUCUAAUGGUUCACAGAGAUUUAUGCUGAGUGUAAGCAACUGUUGAAUUGCACUAAUGUAGCAAUAUUCAUCACUACUAGGACUUCUGUUCCCCCAGAAAUGGCUAUAAAACUAGACAAGCACCAUCCCAGGACUACGUUUUCACUAAACUCAUAGAAGUCCACUUCUGUACCUUCAGUCUGUCUGAGCUACAGAAGGACUUGCAAUGGAAAGAUGACAAAUUCAGCUGCAAAAGUGCAACAGUCAUCCUCAGCCUUUGGAAAGGAGACUCGCCUACUAAGGCCGGAGAGAGCUGUGAUGCAUCCUGUCCUGUGCCCAGUCUGGAGAACCAGCUCACUAGUACUGUGGGACAUACCCCUACACGAGUCUUACACAGUGCUAUACAGCUACUGACGUGUAAUGUAGAAGUGCCUCCUAAACUGGGAGUAGGAGCAGUUGUUCACUACAUCGGUAUAUAGAUACACGAGCAACUGGCCACUAGUUUCUAAUAUCAUAGAAGUAUAGAGGUACCAACAUGGCUUUGCUUUCUUCCCCUUUUGAAUUUGCUGGGUACAUAAAGGAAAGGAACAUAAAAAAGAAAAAACUGCCCUGACAAAGGCAGAUCUGAGAAUCUGUGUCUUAACCAUAACAGUGGCCACCAGCAGCUGGCUACAGAAGAGAAGAAGAGGGCAGCCACAUAGCAGAGUGCCCCAGUUUAUUCUCCCAGCCUCCAGCAAUUGGCAGCUCAGGGGUUUCCUGAGCUGGAACAUUUGCCUACUUUACUGCAGUGAUGGUGGGUAAAAUAUGCAGUGACGACUCUCCCGUACCAGCAGGCUUUGUUUUACCCCAAGUGUUAUGCCAAACUAGUUGUAUAUCAUCAUGAAGAAUAACUGCAUUUCCUAGGAGCUGAUUUCCUAUGGCACAUUUUACUUAAAUACUUUCUCAACACCCUCGCAAAUAUGCCAUGGAUCUAAAGCACAAUCUCCUUUUCAAAAUGAAUGGGUCUGAUUACAGGCAUAUUCAUUUUGUAAAAGGUACAAAAGGAUACAAGUGUGCCUUUCCGUCUCAUAUAAGGUCAAAGUAAGACCCUCUUGCCCUUUUAUUUCAAUCCCUACAAUCUGAAAAUAAAAAAAAAAUGACUUGAUUAUAUGUUUUUUACCAUUAAGUGUAUAAUUGCUUUUGUGUUUUGACAUUUAAUUCCUCUUACCAAAAUACAUGGUGGGAAUUAAAAGUCAAAUCUUUUAUGUAUUUGAUGUACAGAUCCUUCCUUGUAUUUCAAUGAGAGAAAUAGAACGGUAAAACCUUAAAACAGGUACAGUGAAGCCAUCUGGAAAUGAAGUCUCUUUUUAUACUGGAAAUCUGACUGUGGCCCCAGUUCUGCCCUCCCUUAUCUAGGUCGAUGGCUUUUUGAAAUAGCUGGGAGGUCUGAAUGAGUCAAAACCAAGAAAACCUGCAGUACUUGACCUUUAAAAUAGAGCUGGGAUUAUGCUGCGCCUUGUCGGGCAGAUUUCAAGAUUAUGGUCCAGUCUGAAAAUUACUUUUGAAAGCCAUAAGGCGGGAGCUGGCCAGGCAGUCAAGUUUAUUGGCGUGGCACAGGAUGGCAGUAGUAAGGAACACAGGUCCCAGCAUGGGGGGCCAGAAGCAUCCAGGGCAUGAGCAGGAUGUCCCAGCUGGCCCAAGGCCAGCAGGAGGGUUUUGACAUUGAUAGAGAAGUCACACUCAGUAAACCAGCAGAUGAUGUGGAUGCAUGCAAGGGGAGCUGGAUGUUUCCUAUGGAUGUUUCAUAUUAGUUUUGUCUCUUCAUCUCAGUUUUCCCAUAAAGUUUUUCCUACUUCAGACACUGCCCUUCACUAAGGGCAGAAUCCCUCUUUCUCUUCUACCACAACUUCUCUGUUCCCUCUUGUAUUCUGCCAAAAGUAUUUUUCUCCUUUCCUCUAUUGCUUCCUUCCCCCUCCUUCUUAUAUUUUUCAUAUUUCUGCUUUUCUUCUCUUCUUCUGUUUCUUUUUCACUACCUGUACCCUUUAACUGAAUUAUCUUUCACUUCUUUCAUCUCUAGGGCAUGCCAAAUUCUACAUCUUCUUCUUAAUUUCUGUUCAUAUUCAUCCAGAAACUACAUGUUGAGAUUUCUUCUGACUGUAUUUUCUCUCACUGGUCACUCCACCACGACUUCUCUUCACCUAGUUAAGUCCAAAACUGACUUGACCCUACAGCCAUAGCUGGGAUUACAUAGUGUCUUGAGAUUCAGAUUUAUGGAAUCUAGAGCUUUCUGCAACAGUUUUAUGCAGUCUGGGGAGUAGAUGCUAGCUGGGGUCUCAGAUGGACCAAGUUUGGGACAGACUGAGUCAGGAAUGCUAGCAGUAGGCUGAGCUCAGCACUGUUCUUCCAAGUGUUAAUAUUCUCACCCACAAAUUCUGUCAUGUCUUCAAUAUACCCAUUAGCAAAAAGUACUGUAGGUGACUAUGUUCUUGGAGAAAGAUUUUCCCAAAGCAGAGGCCACAUUCCUUUCUUUCAUUCAUCUCAGGAAAGAUACCUUAAACAAAGGUAAAGGGCAAUACGUAAGGUAGCCAAAAAAGAAGUAAAGGGAGCAGGAAAAAGUGGCAUCAGGAAGAAGUAAGUCAGAGAAAGAGAGAGACAGCUGAGUGUAUCUCCCCAUAAUAGCAGUAGUGUCACCAUAUCUCAUGGAGACACACUUAGCUUCCCAUAGUGAAAGCAGCUUGCAUUGCAUGGGUGCCAAGUGCACAGAUGCCAGAAGUUGUCUCCCUUUGGCCAUCAACUUGUUUGCACUUUGCAGGGGGAAUAAGACAACUUGGGGCUGCUCCAGUCCAGUCAUGUCUUUCAAGGGCCUUCUUUCCCAGCAUCCCUGCUGCAUCCUGCUGCUGAUAGGAUUGUGUGUGAAGCAUUUUCCAGGCAUGUGGUAAGGGUGUGUUUACGCACACACACACAUACAAUCACACACACAUUCAUCAUUCAUACAAACACAUGCACAUGCGUAGUUUUUCCCACCAUUUUUUGCACAUGCAAAAGUUGCAGAUUGAAAAUUAAAAGGGAAAGGAAAGCCGACAAUGACUAAAUCACAAAAUUGACCCCAGCCCGUACUCUCAGGAGGGGUAGAAGACAGGACUUACAACAAGGAAAUGGAGCUCAUGCCAUUUUUGCUAAAUGAGUAAAUGCAGGUAAGAAAAGUAGUAGAUUUAUACUGCUCAUGGCAGGGGGGUUGGAACUAGAUGAUCUUUGAGGUACCCUCCAACCCUAACUGUACUAUGAUACUAUACCAGUAUGGUCCAAUCUUUGAUGAAGUCUGGUGAUUAAAGCUUAAGAUCAGGUACCCAGAAUAUCUUGAGUUUGUUCUCACAAGUAGCUAUUUUACCUACAACGUCAGUGUCAUUUGAAAAAUCUGUAUCUUUGGAAAUCUGUAUCUUUGCUCAAGGGCUCUGCUUCGCAGUUUCAGGAUAGUAAUCAGUUCAAGGAGAUGCUUCAAAGUUAAAUGUUUUUUGUUAAAUAAUCAUGCAAUCCUGGAAUAGGGAGGUGGGAGGUAGGUGCAAAUUAGUGCUUUCUUCCAGCUUAGGGUGACCAAAGUCUUCAACAGGUCAUCUUCAAUGUCACAGUUCUUCAGAACAAUUGUGCGUACAGAUAGGAAUAUUAACUAAUGCUACUCAUAGGGUACUAUCUGUUCACACCAGUUACAGAAUGGCUUUGAGGCCAUUCUUGCUGUCAUUUAAAAUAUUUUUUAUGGUAGUAAUGUCAAACAACUACAGGAUUUACUGCUGCUUAGCCUAAAAGAGAGUUGUUUCUCAAAAUGAGAAGGGGGAGAUGUUUUCACUCAUCUGGAAGCUUUAUGGGGCAGUUUUCAUCCAUGGUCCAGAAGUAAAUGCCAGCUCCCUUGAAAUUUUGGAACUCAAUAUGCGUUCAGCCCCGGGAAUCAGGUGAUGAACCAGAACUUCAAACUCUCAGAAACCAAAGUCUUUAUGCUUCUGAGAGGUUGGGUUUGAUUUUUUUUAUUUUUUUUCCAUUUUUUUGCCUUUUUCUUUAAUUUUGAUGGAUGAUGUUUUGUUCUGCAGUGAGUUUUAAUGCGUGUCGUUGUGGAACAAUUUCAAUUGUCAAAAACAACAACAACAAAAAGCAAUAUUUCAAUAUUUCUCAAGCAAAGGCUUCAAAGGUUUCAGAUCUUUUUAAAAUGUUUCUGCUUUAUUUUGACGUGGCAUAAAAGUUUUGUAUGCAUUCUCGCAUCCGCUAUUGUGACAGCUGUAUUUAAUGAGUGCAAAAUGAUCAGAAAAACAUCCUUUACUGUGGGUUGCCAUUACCAGCAGGUGACAGGAGAGAGGCAGUACUGUAAUAACAGGAGCGACGAAGUAGUUCACAUUCCUCCUGAUGGGUUAUUUCUAACUCAAAUGCCUAGGAAUGCCUUUUGAAAAUAAUGCAUCAGUCACAUUACCUGAUAGUUUCAUCAGAUUUUGUUUCCAAGUGUGUUUUGAAAUAAAAUUGUGCAUCCUUAGCCUCAGGUCAUGAAGUGGUUGGUUGUGACACAUUAUUUGUGGAUAACACAGAAGAAAAGGUCCUAGUCUGGCCUAUAAACACCAGUCUUUCCAUCAAAAUGAUGCUGAGCGUUAAACGGAGGUCCAUAGAUAUGCUAGAAAUGAAACAUUACACAAUACAUUUGUGUAAUAUUUUGUAUUUUAUAUGCAUAUUUAAUAUCAGAGCAUUUUAGUCCAAACUGGAGACGGUAUAAAAAUAAAUCUAAAUGGAUUUGAAAGGCAGGAUAUUUCUUUUUUCGAAGCUUUGUCAUUCCUGACUUCCUCUGGUGACUGUUAGCUUAUCAUGCCUUUGUACAGGAGAUCUAAGUAUUUCAUUCUCUCUUGUGUCUCCAUACGGUACCAUUUCCCAGAUAGUCUUCCUUUGGUCACAAGAUGACAGUGAACAUAGAUUGUCAGACUGGACCACUAUAACAAUUUACUCUAGGGGAGAAAAUCCUGUGGGUGUUCAGAAGCUUUAUCUAAGUUAUGUUUGAUUAACUUAUCCUACUACUGAAAAAUAAUUAGGUCAGCAAUUAAUUUCAAAAUGCAAAUAUGCUACAGGCCUUCACAGUUUAAGAAAUUCCCUUUGUCUUUAGUUUUUACUUGUGUUACAGUCUUAAUGAAUUUAGCUGGGUGAAGGAAUAAAAUUAUGUUUUCUAAUGCUUUAUUUACUAGGUUGAGUUGGACAUUUUUAGCAAAUAUUGACUGCAAAUGUUUGUUCUUAAAUGAUCAUGUGUGAUGGAAUUUAAUGGCAUAAGAAAACAACAAACUAAUGAUUUCAGACAUUCAAAAUAUAUAUAUUUUCACACUUAUGCUGCAAAAUAUUUAUCUACCUUCAUGGAUUAGGAACAGAAAUACAAACCAGAGGGUCAGGAGCAGACCACAGUAGCAAAGCCACCAAUACUUGCUUAAGCAAUCUAAGAAACUAGGGUAUAUCAGAAAGAAAACAUGUUUAAUAUUAGUACAAGUGUGUCUCAAAGAAACCUAUCUACCAGUCUAUCUCAGAGACUUUAUUAUUAAACAAGACAGAUUAAAAGCUCAGCCCUUCCCAAGAGAAGCUCAGGGGAGUUUUCUGUUGACUUUAAGGGAGUGAGUCUCCUAAGUCUAAGUCUUCUGUGAUUAAAAUCAUGCAAUUUUUUAGAAAAUAUUCAAACUAGACAGCUGUAAACAAACCCAACCAGCUAGCCUGAUAUAAAAUCAGAAUAAAUUUAUGCAGCUGAUAUACUUAUGGUAGAAUUCCCUAACAGUUUAUUUGCUUAAUUGAAGUCAAGAAGAAGAGCAUCCACUCUACAAUUGGGAGAGGGUUUUUUACAAAAUUUUUACUGAACUUGAGUUGAAGUUUUAAACAAAACAUGACAAUCCAUAUUUUUUUAUGCCUAAUAUGCAAGCUGUUUUGUAUGAAAUAACAAUAAUAAAAAUGAAAAUUCAAGAUCUUUUUGGUGCAUUUUUGCCUAAAUUACUAAAUUACUAAAUAAUUAAAUUAGGGAAAGAAAUCCAGAAAAACAAGAUAAAACUAAACAUUGCGGGUUUGGGGUGAGUUUCAUUUUGGAAAGAAAACCGAAAGGAUAACUGCAUGGGGUCAAAAUUACCUCUCACUUACAAAGACAAAGCUUGGUUUCUAAUCUCUUCCAACAGAUUAUACUCAGGACCAUCUUUCCAUCUUAAGCAGCAUAUUAAAAACUUUGAAGAUUUCACCGGGUAGAGUGGGCAACACAAUGCUGAAGCUUCAUUCUGAAUGAAGGAGAAUCUCUUUCUUUCUCUCCAGAGUCAUGGAAGAGGAAAUCAGAAACGUCAAUUGAUACAAAAAGGCUAAGCUGUUGGGAGCUGUGCAAACAGAAUUUUUCUUGUAAGAAGUUUUCUUGUAAGAUAUAGGCUUAGCUGAGCACUGGGCAAGGAUCCAGUUAAAGCAGCACAGUUCAAGAAAGACACAGCUGUCUUAAAUGCUGUCCGAAGGAGAGGACUAGGAUUGAUCAGAAGGUUGGGAAAUGUGACCGGCAAGAAAACCUGAACCAGGGUGAUUUUAUCUUGAGAAGAGAACGAGCAGACAUAAAGACUACAUUUGAAAAAGUCUUCUGCAAGGAGGCAGGGGAGAGUUUGCUUUUCAGGUCUACAGCAAAAUGAUGGAAGGUAACAGCCCUACAUUGAAACAAGGGAGAUUCGGGUCAGAUGUUGGCAAAACCUUUCUGAGAGUGAAGACAUUGAAGCAGUGGAAGGGAUUAUUUGUGGCAAGUCUGGAGUCCUCCUCACUGAUGAACUUUCAGAAUAGGCUGAGCAAACUACUUUCAAGAUAAUGUAGUACAGUUUCUGGCUGAAACCAAUGCCUUAACAGUUAUUACAUUGAUAUUUUUAAUUGCCUUUAAGAAACUGAUGGCACUCUUAUGGUGGAAUAAAGCAAACUUCUAAAUUAAUCUAGAGCAAGAAACCUAACAUGAAUGCUUAACUGAGCUUCCAUUAUGAGGGAGAGAGCAAUUAAGGAUGAAGUUGAUCUGCAGAAGCAAGAUGGAUAGAUUGGUCUGUAUGUCCCAAGGUGAGAUCAUUAAAAUUUAAAUAAAUAAUGAUAAUUGAGAAGAGAUUUCGGUGAUUAGCAAACUGGAAUUAAAUUCUAUAAAAUAAAGGAAUUCCAUAUGCCAGAACUUUAUCAUGGAAGUUGAGGUUUAUUCAGCAGCUUUUAGCAUCAGAGUCAUUAUCACUGACCAAACGGAGAAGUGUGAGGAAAACUAAUCUCAGAUUCUGGAUCAGUGUUGGAAUAAUGGCAAUUUGGCAAAGAUACACAGAAUGCAAUUGAAAUAAUAUAAGUUUAAGUGGGAAUGAUUAUUUCUUUAAGGUAGUAUAUUGACAAAAAAAAAUAUCACAUCGAUAGAGCACUUCACUCAAAUUUUUUUGGAAGACUAAUAAAUGUCUCCGAGGUCAUAUUGUUUAAAAAAUCUUUCAAAUCUAAGUGAUCUCUGGAGUCAUCUGCAGAAGUGUUGAAGUACAUACCAAGCCACAAGUAAUUUUAUAAUAUUGUCAUACUCUAAAAUUAGUGCAUUUCAACAUAAUUAAUGCAUUUGUAUCUUUUUACAUUGAAGCAAUUGUAAAUAUUCUAGCUGUUUUGCAAAAGCUUGCUAAUGGCUUCCCUUUCCUUGGAUACUCCUGUGUUAUCGUUCGUUCUUUGUCUCAAAAAGGGAGUGACACAUCCCUCCUCACCAGUUUGUCUUUCUCUCUUUCUGUCAUCCUUGGAAAUGGAGGGAUUUUCCUCUUCCUGCAAAACGGUGAUUAAAGAUUGUCUUAUGGAAUGAGAGGGGCACUUCCCUUGGGCUUUCCAAGCAAUGGCAGAGGCCUGGUAACAGCUGGUUGGUUUGUGCCUGGACUGAAACAGGAGAAGGUUGGUGAAGCAAACUGGCACAGUGCAAGAACGUGCAACAGAUGGUGGUUGGUGACUCUCCAGGAGGGUGCUCUAAAGAUGUGGCUGUUUCUGUUGACCCCAACACAAGGUACCUUCUCUUGGGAGGCUUGAGGGUGAGGUGGUGUCCCCCAGAGUGGGACAAAGGGUAUGAUCAGAGCACCUUUAAAGCACUUUUCUUCAUGAAGACAAGGCAAGACUGAAAAAACAAGGAAGUGUGACCUAGUGAAGAAGCAUACUCUCACAACGUGGCACUUCACUGGCAACUGUGGCUGUCAGCAAAACACCCCUUGUUCUGACUGUCAAUAUCCAAGUGAAGAUAAGCUUACAAAAAGGUUAGUACACAUCCUGACUUGAUUUUUUUUUUUGAAUCAUUUUUGGCCCAAUUCCUUCCUCUUGGCUCUUCCUAGAACAACAAAAGGCCAGAGGCAGGUGUUGAGAUGGCACUGUUUUUUCUCAUUUAAUCUGUGAGGCACCAUGAAAAACAGUCAAUGAUCAUAGAGUAUGCUCUAAGCAUAAGUGACUGAAGUACUAACAUGUGAAUUUAGUAAAGUUAGAGUCUGUGGAGUGGAGAUAAAUUACAGCAGCAAUUGAAGUUGAAUGUGAUAUAGAAAUUCAACCAACAGAAGACUGUCUGGAAACAAUUAUUCAGAAAGUGGCUGACCCUCUAUUUCUUUAAAGAGUUAAACAUUUGGAUUGGUUAACUGGCAGCUGCAAUAAUAGGCAUAUGCUCUAAUCUUUGAUCCGUAGCUGUAUUUGCAACUCUCUGUAUGAGAAGAAGAUCACAUAGAUUUGCAUAUUUUUAAGGAUCUAUGGGGAGAAAAAGAAGAACAAAAACUACUCUUCCAAGAUGCCACUUUGAGAUCACACAGGGUGUCAUGGGCCCCCUCAAGUAUGCUAAUGUUCAGAGCCAGUUGCAAAACUCACAGAUUUUAUAAAUGGCCUUAAACUGUGACAUUCGCAUCUGAAGUUUAUUGAAAAAUCCUUCUAGAACAGAGAUUUGUAAACCAAGAUUGCAUCGUAACUCUUCACGGAGAUGUGUAUGGAUGUGAUUAAGAUCUCAUUUCCACACCCAGAUUUGUGUUAGAACUUUCCUAAAAUCUGAAAGCAUGCAGAGUUAAUAAAUAAAUUAGAAAAUGUUCUGAGACCAAAUGAGAAGCUGUUGUCCAGACUGAAAUGCAUAAAGAUAUCUGCCAAGGCCUUGACUUCACCUUAGUUUUGGCAAAAUUUUCCAGUGUUAAUGAAAAUUUUGCAGGCACAAGACAACCAUGAAUCACUCCACUGGUAGAAUGGAUACUAACCAAACAUACUUUGUCUGUGUUGAAGGUUCAUUUCUUCCACACCUCUUUUUCAACUCCAACAGAAAGAUAUUUACUAAUCACUCAUUUUGCACCACCAGUUGUGUCUACACCACAGGAGAUUUCCACCACUUGGUAUUAUUCCCCUAGAAAGCAUCUCUUUCUGACAGAAGUGAGCAAUAUAUUAAGUACUGUGAAGUGAAGAGGUAAUCAUCCCUGUAAAUGUUCUCAAUUGAGGGAUAUUUCAACGUAGUCCUCACCCGAUUUGAAAGGAAGUUCUGUCACUUUACAAUAAUCUUUCUCUCCUGUUCACCUAACACAACACUGAUAUCCACAAUGAUGUGAUGACACUUGUUAUUUGUUAUUUGCCUAUGGAUACUUCCUGUACUUCCCAAACAAAAAAUAUGGAUUACUACAUAAAACUAUGCAGAUAUGCAAAGAAGGCAGUGCAAAGAAGGCACUCUCCAAAAAAUAUUCUGUCUAGCUUUCUUACAGUUCCAUGCAGUAAGUCAUAUGGAGACAUCAAUAGUGGAGAAGGUAGACUACAAGCCUGAUUGACACAGGAGGAAGUACUUCUAGCUACUAUGUUCCUUGUCCUGUGAGCAGGCAAGAUUUUGUAAAAUCCUGGCAAAAAUCCCAUGAAGAGGAGGGGAAGGUGGUGCACAUUCGUGGAUAAAGUGUAGUAAGAAAAUGAGGUGAUGCAAUGAUAUUCAGAAAGCUUCUUUUGAGAGUGAUCAGAACAUCAACAGGUGAACCAGAACCCAAGUUAGCAACAAUAGCUUCAGUAUCUUACAGACUGAGGGAGGCAAUGGGGAAAGAGAAUAGUAUACAGCUUUUAAUGAGUAAAUUUAAUUGGCAAUCCAAAGUUUUUGAGAAGGGAACAACCUGUGUCCUGACAGUGCACACACUCCACAAGUUAAGCAGACCCUAAGGUAAUCCAAAACUCAAGGCAAAAGUAUUAGUGAUAAGAAAUCUUCUUCUGUCGCCAGCAGGGCCAUGUAAUCAGCUUUUCAAACCCUGGAAGCAUGAUGGAAUUAAGGGGCCAAGACUCUCCUUGCUUCUUUGUGAGGAUGCUAUUUUGCUUUUGUUAACACAAACAGAUAUUUUUAUUUCUGUGUUUUGUAUACCUUCGGCUGUCCCUUCCUGAAGGACUCUGAAAGAUUUCUGAUCUCUAAGAAACUUAUUUUUUAGGGGAUUCUGUAAUCUUCUUGUUUUGUGAGAAGGCAGGGUGCAAAAAAUGGAGAUACAGAAAUUGCCUUAAGUGCUGUAUAAUAAUUGACUUCAAUUACUUCACUUAGUUAUUGCUGACCAUUUUUUAUAAAUAUCUACACAUUAUAUUUGUUCUGGCCACUGAGAUAAUAGUUUCAGAUCUAUUUGAAAAUGUAUAGUGAUAUAUUGUGUCAAUGUAAUAUGACUGUACAAAAUGGAUUAUAUCAGUUAGAAGAAAUAUCUUAAAACCUGCCUCUCUACAGUCUAUUCUCUGUAUCUUAGCUCUUUACUGCACCACAAGGCCACUGGCUGAGCUUUUGCUCAUGCACUGUUGAGUGGAUCCCUGACAUAUCACUGCAUUCAGUCAAAAUAUUGAAAAAUAAAAUGAGAACACCUAUAGGUGAUGAAAAUAAGAGCAAGAAAGUAGCAUUUCUCUACAUCAUGUAAAGCAGAAAAUCUGAAAAUCAUUUUGGUGAAAACAGAUUAGAAGUGAGAUGUUUGGGAGGCAUUGUUACUGUUGUAGACUACAGUAAAGGAAAAAAAAACUUAUAUCAAAUCAGACUAACACUGAAUUAGCUUAAUUUUAAAAUGGCAAUGAACCAGGUCAGUAACAACGAGAUAAUCCCACCUUACUGGUUUGGUCUAAGGUAACUGCCUACACUCCUGUAGUGAAGAGAGAGAAAAAGAGACUCCAGCAGGAAAAGGUACCUAUUUUUCUAUGGCUAUCUGUGUUGCCAUCCUAAAAUGGUCUCAUGAAAUCUUUGA